ACCAUUUUAGUGAGUCAUUCUUCCAUAGAAUCAAUCUCCUAAAUCUCACUCCACUUGCCAGAUUCUUGCUUUACAUGUUCCUGAUGCAAUCAUAAUCUAUUCUAAUUUAUACAAACGAGUUGUUGUAGACUGAUUCCAUGACCCUAAUUCAAAUCAUACUCACUAUCACUAUUCAACAUGCUGUAAAUUUCAUAAUAACAUUUGUCUCUAAUCAGACCAUUGAGUGCAAUUAAAUCAAACUUGGAUUCAACUUUUAUGAAGGUUAUACAUACUAAUAUGCAGAUCUAACUCAUUUCAAUCAUAGACUAAGCUUAUACAAAGAUCAUUUUAGCUUAAAAUCAAUUAGCUAUACCUUGACUAAAUCUACAGUAACAUAGUCAAUAAUCACAGCUAAACAUAAUUCAUAUAUCAAGAGAGAAAGCAAGUAUGGACAGAUUAAAGGACCACACACCCUUAAUACACGAAAUCUGGACAUAAAUACAACAAGAACAAAUCAUAUCUUCAAUUCCAUAUUCAAUAGAGAUCCUAGAUGAAGGAUUACAUACCUAGCAACAAGGAAACAUAAGAAAAUGACCAAGUAAAGGUCAAAUUUGAGGGCAAACAGAACUUGGUUAGACAGGAGAACUAAAGCAGUAAUCAACAACAAAUGAACUCCAACUUCAACAGCUUCUAAACCCAAAAAAUAUUCCCCAAAAGCUUGCUUUCAGAUCUCUUUUCUAAGUGCUCUCUUUUUUUUUUGUGUUUUGUUUUUGAAAUUAGGAUUGCUAAAUCUAAGAGUAAAUACUUCAAAGUGUAUAAAAAAAAAGGAUGAAGUCCUCUCAAUCCAGUCUUGUGUGGUGAAGUGAAAAAGAAGAGUGUAUUCAAUGUAUGCAAAAUGUGUGUGUGUUCUCUAAAGGAAUGCCGAGAUAAAGAUGCCUAAAAAUGAGAGUGUAAAUGAGUUUUUAUGCAAAAAAUG
This 955-nucleotide long non-coding RNA is filed under the name Nicotiana tabacum (common tobacco). RNAcentral's name for it is "long non-coding RNA (NTAB_LNC015796)". Lineage: Eukaryota; Viridiplantae; Streptophyta; Magnoliopsida; Solanales; Solanaceae. The record is from RNAcentral.